GGAUCGAAAGAGUCCACCGGAUGAGAGCGGAAGUGUUGGACAAGGGACGCCGCACGCGGACGCUGCUCAGGGCUCGCAAACACGCGAGUGAACGGAGUGGCUGCUGGUUCACUCACUGCCCGGGAAGGUGGAUCAGUGAAGCUAUACUGACUGGGAGAACGGGGGAGUCGACUCGCCCUUCCACAAACUUAAGUAUCCGGUACCCCAGUCUCCCCUGCCCCGACAAACCUUGGUCUCAACCUAGACCUCCGUUGCCAUUCCUUACAGGAACCAGGCAUGUCUGGUGGUUGCUGGAGGAGGUGAAGCCGGCCACAGGGGUGUAGACAGUGCAGUUCAGGAGGAAUAAAGGGACAAUAAGGAGCCA
Molecule: long non-coding RNA, 364 nt
Filed under: Astyanax mexicanus (Mexican tetra)
Lineage: Eukaryota; Metazoa; Chordata; Actinopteri; Characiformes; Acestrorhamphidae
Description: lncRNA (ENSAMXG00005000298.1)
Source: RNAcentral